This 910-nucleotide ribosomal RNA is filed under the name Kocuria rosea. RNAcentral describes it as "bacterial SSU rRNA". It matches the Rfam family "Bacterial small subunit ribosomal RNA", at positions 550 to 1455 of the family's 1533-position model. The record is from RNAcentral. Lineage: Bacteria; Bacillati; Actinomycetota; Actinomycetes; Micrococcales; Micrococcaceae.
AUUAUUGGGCGUAAAGAGCUCGUAGGCGGUUUGUCGCGUCUGCUGUGAAAGCCCGGGGCUCAACCCCGGGUCUGCAGUGGGUACGGGCAGACUAGAGUGCAGUAGGGGAGACUGGAAUUCCUGGUGUAGCGGUGAAAUGCGCAGAUAUCAGGAGGAACACCGAUGGCGAAGGCAGGUCUCUGGGCUGUUACUGACGCUGAGGAGCGAAAGCAUGGGGAGCGAACAGGAUUAGAUACCCUGGUAGUCCAUGCCGUAAACGUUGGGCACUAGGUGUGGGGGACAUUCCACGUUUUCCGCGCCGUAGCUAACGCAUUAAGUGCCCCGCCUGGGGAGUACGGCCGCAAGGCUAAAACUCAAAGGAAUUGACGGGGGCCCGCACAAGCGGCGGAGCAUGCGGAUUAAUUCGAUGCAACGCGAAGAACCUUACCAAGGCUUGACAUUCACCGGACCGCCCCAGAGAUGGGGUUUCCCUUCGGGGCUGGUGGACAGGUGGUGCAUGGUUGUCGUCAGCUCGUGUCGUGAGAUGUUGGGUUAAGUCCCGCAACGAGCGCAACCCUCGUUCUAUGUUGCCAGCACGUGAUGGUGGGGACUCAUAGGAGACUGCCGGGGUCAACUCGGAGGAAGGUGGGGAUGACGUCAAAUCAUCAUGCCCCUUAUGUCUUGGGCUUCACGCAUGCUACAAUGGCCGGUACAAAGGGUUGCGAUACUGUGAGGUGGAGCUAAUCCCAAAAAGCCGGUCUCAGUUCGGAUUGAGGUCUGCAACUCGACCUCAUGAAGUCGGAGUCGCUAGUAAUCGCAGAUCAGCAACGCUGCGGUGAAUACGUUCCCGGGCCUUGUACACACCGCCCGUCAAGUCACGAAAGUUGGUAACACCCGAAGCCGGUGGCCUAACCCCUUGGGGAGGGAGCCG